RNAcentral lists this ribosomal RNA (253 nucleotides) under uncultured bacterium. RNAcentral's name for it is "partial 16S ribosomal RNA". It matches the Rfam family "Bacterial small subunit ribosomal RNA", at positions 524 to 776 of the family's 1533-position model. The record is from RNAcentral.
UACGAAGGGGGCUAGCGUUGCUCGGAAUCACUGGGCGUAAAGGGUGCGUAGGCGGGUCUUUAAGUCAGGGGUGAAAUCCUGGAGCUCAACUCCAGAACUGCCUUUGAUACUGAAGAUCUUGAGUUCGGGAGAGGUGAGUGGAACUGCGAGUGUAGAGGUGAAAUUCGUAGAUAUUCGCAAGAACACCAGUGGCGAAGGCGGUGCUCUGGGCCGGAACUGACGCUGAGGAGCGAAAGCGUGGGUAGCAAACAGG